RNAcentral lists this ribosomal RNA (634 nucleotides) under uncultured bacterium. Its description in RNAcentral is "bacterial SSU rRNA". It matches the Rfam family "Bacterial small subunit ribosomal RNA", at positions 234 to 884 of the family's 1533-position model. The record is from RNAcentral.
CGUCCGAUUAGAUAGUUGGUGGGGUAACGGCCUACCAAGUCGACGAUCGGUAGCCGGACUGAGAGGUCGAACGGCCACAUUGGGACUGAGACACGGCCCAGACUCCUACGGGAGGCAGCAGUGGGGGAUAUUGCACAAUGGGGGAAACCCUGAUGCAGCGACGCCGCGUGAGGGAAGACGGUCCUCUGGAUUGUAAACCUCUGUCUUCGGGGACGAAACGAGACGGUACCCGAGGAGGAAGCCACGGCUAACUACGUGCCAGCAGCCGCGGUAAUACGUAGGUGGCAAGCGUUGUCCGGAAUUACUGGGUGUAAAGGGAGCGUAGGCGGGCAGGCAAGUCAGGCGUGAAAUAUAUCGGCUCAACCGGUAACGGCGCUUGAAACUGCAGGUCUUGAGUGAAGUAGAGGUUGGCGGAAUUCCUAGUGUAGCGGUGAAAUGCGUAGAUAUUAGGAGGAACACCAGUGGCGAAGGCGGCCAACUGGGCUUUUACUGACGCUGAGGCUCGAAAGUGUGGGGAGCAAACAGGAUUAGAUACCCUGGUAGUCCACACCGUAAACGAUGAUUACUAGGUGUGGGGGGACUGACCCCUUCCGUGCCGGAGUUAACACAAUAAGUAAUCCACCUGGGGAGUACG